UACGGAGAGAAAAAUAUAUUUAUGUUUUCAUUCAAGUAUAUAAUUUUCAUUAUAUCACAUCCUGUAUAUUUAAUAAUCUUAGUUUUAAUUAUAACCUAUUUGACUGAAAGAAAAAAAAUUCGAGAAGUUAAAGUUAUUUUAUUUUAACUUUUAUUUAUUUAUUUAUUUGUCCGAAAUCAAUCAAGGGGAAAUGGUUAUUGAUGGAGCCUAUAACUAUGAUUACAUCGGUAAAACUGGGUUUUAUUUUCCUCAGCCUAUUGACGCUUUGCCCGGUGAGCGAAAGAUACUAUGACUCAAAAUGAGGUUUUGGUUAUUCAAAAAACGAAGAUCAAAUUUAUUACUGAUUUGGGGAGAAAUGUAGGAGAGUGCUGCUACAUUGGCUAAUUUAGGGAUAACAUACAAGGGAAUGCUGCUAAAGGGAAUGCGGUUUGGGUUAAGGAAGGUAUAGAUCAAUCGAUGUAGCAGCACUCUCCUACAUUUCUCCACAAAUCAGUAAUAUAUCUGGUCUUCGUUUUUUUUAAAAAUCAAAACCUCAUUUUGAGACAGUAUCUUUCGCUUACCCGCCAGCUAAGGCCCUUAACUGGAUCGCAUGUGUUUUGCCAGACCUGGUUCGCCGGACCUGGCUCGCCAGCUCUGGCCCAUUAAUAUACUACUAAUUGGGUGGUUGUUUUUAUGUCAUCGUUAGUUGUUACGUUUUGUCAGUUUAUUAGUGUUUGUAACUGUAACUUUGUAUGCAAGAACGAUUGUUGUAUGGAAAAUUAUACCAAUUUAUUUAAAUUAUUUUAAUUACUAUAUCUUGUUUAUCUUUAAACAUUUUACUUCCAAAUCUAUACUUUUUACAUUUUUUUUCUUUUUCUUUGUUUUUUUAUUGAAAAUUCAUUUUUUUUUUACCAUUGAUUUGAAAUACAGUGCUUUUAUAUCUUAAAACACUUUGCUUAAAUGGAAUUUCAAAAUAGAUGGACUGCAACUGUUUAGCUAGAAAAUGGUAAUGGUAAGAAGCAAAAAGUGGAUGGCGUGGUGCCAGUAAGAUGGUAUCGAUAUGAUCUAGUCUCAAUUAAGUUAGUUGCAGUGCUAUUGAAAGGAACGAUAGAAAAAAAGAAGCAUUCAAGUUGUUUGCAAAACUUUUGGUUUUGAUACAAAAGACCAACUGAAAAUGAUACUAAAAAGACUGUUUACCGUUUUACUCCUGUCCCAAUCUAACCUAGUGGGUUCAAAAAGAAAGGACCGCGCUGGAAACAUGAGGGGAUUAAAAGGAUCAGCCUUUUUUGAAUUAUUAGUUGGUAAGUCUAAUAUGUUUCACUCAGCUAAUCAAGUUUCAUUUGUCUUUUUGUAUUACAUUCAAGCGAGAGACUGUUUUUUAAGUUUAAAAAGUCUUAACCAGCUCGUAUGAAAGGAUUUCUCGACGUGAAAUAGUUAAUUUUAUUCAACAACGCCGAGAAACUAAGCUCGCUCAAGAAACAGAAAAGAAAAAGA
This is a long non-coding RNA of Hydra vulgaris (swiftwater hydra), 1473 nucleotides long. RefSeq lists it as uncharacterized. The record is from RefSeq and is a predicted model, not a curated record. Lineage: Eukaryota; Metazoa; Cnidaria; Hydrozoa; Anthoathecata; Hydridae.